ACAGUACAAACUGAGCAGGCAGUAUAUUUCGAAGGAGAUGUAUGUAGCCGGGUCGUGAUCACGACAACAGAGAUUGCCGAUUGGGCACCUGUGGGACAGU
This 100-nucleotide non-coding RNA is filed under the name bovine gut metagenome. RNAcentral describes it as "NiCo riboswitch". It matches the Rfam family "NiCo (Nickel/Cobalt) riboswitch aptamer". The record is from RNAcentral.